This 355-nucleotide long non-coding RNA is filed under the name Setaria viridis. Its description in RNAcentral is "long non-coding RNA (SVIR_LNC004658)". The record is from RNAcentral. Lineage: Eukaryota; Viridiplantae; Streptophyta; Magnoliopsida; Poales; Poaceae.
UUUGAUCAUAUGCUGAUUGCAGUUGUUUCAAAAAAUUUGCUGUUGUGCCUGGUGCUUGGAUAUGCUGUAAUAUUCAUGAUUCAAAUGCCGGACAGAUACCUAUAUCCAGUGUUCAGAUGUUAACAUAUUGACGAUGUGUUUAUUAGCAUAUGGUGUGAUUUUGCUGUGAAUUUGUCUUGUGCCAUGCAUGUCAUCUGUGUUCAAACGGUAGGGCACGCAUCGCCCGCUGAAUGUUCUAGUGGACUGAAACCGCAAUGGGCAAACCUGCCCUAUUCGUGUUGUCGGAUCAUAGGAAAAGGAGACACUGAAAUAUAGGCGCGGAUCGUUCCAUCGUAACACUGGUAGAGAAUUAGCC